Molecule: microRNA precursor, 159 nt
Filed under: Prunus dulcis (almond)
Lineage: Eukaryota; Viridiplantae; Streptophyta; Magnoliopsida; Rosales; Rosaceae
Description: sRNA ncRNA
Source: RNAcentral
CAUGACAUGGCAACCUAUGUCAUCUGCCACCUCAUUUAUUUUAAUUACAUAAUUUGUUAUAUAAAUAAAAGAAUUUCGGUGUGAAAUUCUUUUAUUUAUAUAACAAAUUAUGUAAUUAAAAUAAAUGAGGUGGCAGAUGACAUAGGUUGCCAUGUCAUG